Molecule: ribosomal RNA, 497 nt
Filed under: uncultured bacterium
Lineage: Bacteria
Description: partial 16S ribosomal RNA
Rfam family: Bacterial small subunit ribosomal RNA
Source: RNAcentral
GAUGAACGCUGGCGGUGUGCCUAAUACAUGCAAGUCGAGCGAACAGACGAGGAGCUUACUCCUCUGACGUUAGCGGCGGACGGGUGAGUAACACGUGGAUAACCUACCUAUAAGACUGGGAUAACUUCGGGAAACCGGAGCUAAUACCGGAUAACAUGUUGAACCGCAUGGUUCAACAGUGAAAGACGGUCUUGCUGUCACUUAUAGAUGGAUCCGCGUCGCAUUAGCUAGUUGGUAAGGUAACGGCUUACCAAGGCAACGAUGCGUAGCCGACCUGAGAGGGUGAUAGGCCACACUGGAACUGAGACACGGUCCAGACUCCUACGGGAGGCAGCAGUAGGGAAUCUUCCGCAAUGGGCGAAAGCCUGACGGAGCAACGCCGCGUGAGUGAAGAAGGUGUUCGGAUCGUAAAACUCUGUUAUUAGGGAAGAACAAAUGUGUAAGUAACUAUGCACGUCUUGACGGUACCUAAUCAGAAAGCCACGGCUAACUACGUG